CCUACGGGAGGCAGCAGUGAGGAAUAUUGGUCAAUGGCCGUAAGGCUGAACCAGCCAAGUCGCGUGAAGGAAGAAGGAUCUAUGGUUUGUAAACUUCUUUUAUAGGGGAAUAAAGGUAUCCACGUGUGGAUAUUUGCAUGUACCCUAUGAAUAAGCAUCGGCUAACUCCGUGCCAGCAGCCGCGGUAAUACGGAGGAUGCGAGCGUUAUCCGGAUUUAUUGGGUUUAAAGGGUGCGUAGGUUGUUUUUUAAGUCAGCGGUGAAAGUUUGUGGCUCAACCAUAAAAUUGCCGUUGAAACUGGAAGACGUGAGUGUGUUUGAGGUAGGCGGAAUGCGUGGUGUAGCGGUGAAAUGCAUAGAGAUCACGCAGAACUCCGAUUGCGAAGGCAGCUUACUAAGCCAUAACUGACACUGAAGCACGAAAGCGUGGGGAUCAAACAGGAUUAGAUACCCGGGUAGUC
Molecule: ribosomal RNA, 460 nt
Filed under: uncultured bacterium
Lineage: Bacteria
Description: partial 16S ribosomal RNA
Rfam family: Bacterial small subunit ribosomal RNA
Source: RNAcentral